Pangasianodon hypophthalmus (striped catfish) is the source of this 2460-nucleotide long non-coding RNA. RefSeq lists it as uncharacterized. The record is from RefSeq and is a predicted model, not a curated record. The transcript has 3 exons. Lineage: Eukaryota; Metazoa; Chordata; Actinopteri; Siluriformes; Pangasiidae.
CACCCCCGGAACCAUGCUGCAGCCAUGAGCCCAGAGAACAAAAGAUGUGAAGCUGACUUUCACAACUCUCAUCAGCUCACAGCCUCCCAGAACUCUCUGCAAAUGAAUGAUUACUUUGUUCAGUGUAAGGAGGAGGAACAGUUGGGGGUUUUGUUUCUUAUUUCAUCCUUGAGCAGUUCUGAAAUUCAGGAUGAGCUACAGGGAGGGUGAAGGCUAUCGUGUGCUUCCACGUGCUGCUGCUCAUGGAAAAUCGGGGUGGCAUAAUAUAAUCAGAGGAAAGCACCACCCACUUCCGCACAUCACUGUGAGAGGGCCACAGCCACCGAUGACUGUGGCAUCAUUGGGAUUUGAACUCGUGAUCAUAGGGUGAACAUUUUUCUGUUGUGUCACUUGGGAGUCUGUAUUGCUCAUAUUGCCUAGUGAGCUAGCAAGUUUUUUUCUCUGUUUUUGUAUGUUAGUUGUCAAUAAAUUUUGUUUGUCAAUACAAUUUUAUGUCAAAAAAUCAAUAAUUCCAUCCAAUGAGAUUUGUUCAAAUUUGCUUGUGAACUGACCUCUGCUACAAAACCUUAACUGGAGAGAUUCUACACUAUCUGUCAUUCAAUUUUGCUCAUAUCCUUAGGGUUUCCUUCAUCUUUCUCCCUAUCACAAUCAAUUUCUAAAUGAUCUCACCCAGCAGUAUGACAGAGAAAAUGAGCAAAGAAAGAGCAAUGAAUCUGCUCCCAAAAUAAAGUUUGGUUGAGGUCAAAUAUGGUUUUAUGAGUCACUCGCUUCAAUAUUAAUUGUUCCAAGUUCCAACCUUCCAGCUGAGACAUUAAAUUUCAUGUGAAGCUUUCAAAAAUUCUGCAGUUUUUGAAGUGUAUAUAUCACUCACUCUUCUCAAUGUCAUUACUGAUUCAGCUUCUAAAAGGCACAUAAAACUCUGCUGAACAGUGGAAUAUUUAUUGUGACAGGAUUGGGAUGAAAAAAGCCUUAAUUGUCAGUAAAAUUAAAAAGGUUUUUUGUAGUUUGAUAGGCCCCAGAAUAUGUAUUAGACUGUUAUUGCAUAUGCCAUAUUCACUGUUAGCUUAUUGUGAUGAAUGCUUGCCAAUUAACUACUAACAUGAAAAUGUGAAUCUGGGUAUAAUUGUUCCCGGCAAGUGUAUGAAAAUUGGCUAAAUAGACAGAAAUGUAAAAAUGAUUAAUGGUGCCAAUGGGAAGUGUGUGACUGUGGUGUGUGUGUGUGUGUGUGUGCAUAUAUAUGAGAGAGAGAUGCUUUCGUGAAUGCUUUCGAGAGAUGUGCACAUUUGUAAAUGCAAAAUAAUGACUCCAGCUGCAUUCUUAUUAGUCAUAUAUCUAAAUUGCAACUGGCAGUAGAUAAGGAGCUAUCUACACUACAAGGAUCUUACGAUGAGCCAAAAAUAUAUCAUAUAUAGCUCACAUCUUAUCGAGAACAAGAGCUAAAAACAUUUCUCUCAUUGUUCCACAUUUUCUAAUAUAAUGUGCAUCAUAUUGCUGGUUGAAUAUAUAACUGUGUUUCUAUGGACUCCAGAUGCAGGGUAGACUUCCUGGAGUGUAAAGCCUCAAAGUCAUGCCCUGGAGCUGGGGCUCCAGCUCACCUAUAGACCAUGGAAAAAAGAAAAAAAAACCUUAACUGAGAACUCUCAGAGAAGAAAUAUUUGAAUUUAUAUUGACAACUGUGUUUUUUGAUCAGCAGCUGAAAAUAUAAGAAUCAUUACAAAGCAUAGUGUGUGACUCUGUUGAAAUUCUGAUGAAAGAUGACCAUAGAGAUAUAGGUCUUUUAUAAUUUCGCUUUCUAAUGAGAACAGAAUUAUUUUGUCAAACUGAAGAUUCUAGAGAGCAGAAAUAAAUUCCUGUAGUGUACUGCUUGAGGAGCCUCUUAAAAUCAAUCAGUUGUCAAAAGUCUUGCAUCUCUACACUAACUAUCUUGACAUUUUCCAUCAUUUUGAAUGAUCAGGAAAAUAUGCCAAUUAGUGAUCUAAUCACGCCAUCUUCAGAACAGAAAGUCCUCCCUGAUACAUCCUACCGUUGCAUAACAUCAUGGGUAACUUACUACAAAUCUACUAAUUUUCUUCCUAGCAGCCAUAUACAAUACCUGUAUCAGAAUUGGUAUUACAUGAACCACACUAUAUAUUCAGAUAUUAUUGCAAUAAUUCAUCGCUAUCAUAAUAUGGAUAUUAGCAUCAUAGUGGAUCUCCUGCAAUACUUCAUACUACGUUUUUAUGUUUUCACUAAUAAGAGUUUAAUUUCAUCAAAGAAAAAAAUUAAAGGCUUUCUGUUUUUUUUUGUGUUAGAAAAUAACUGUAUCUAAAUGUACAGACUCAGACUGUUGGACCUGGAUCAUAAAUACCUGGGCAUUUUACAGGAGUCAUAUCCAAUAUGAAUAAAGUUUGCAUGGCAAAAACAAAGUCUGCUGACUUAAAUAGAAGAGGACAACGUGUUCAAAUGGGACUCAUUUCUGAU